CUCUUAAGGAAGGGGAGAAUGGGGUUGAGAAAGGGGCCAAUGGAGCUAGGUAGCAUAGUAAAUAGAGGGCAUCUUCCAACUGCCUUCAAGUCAUCAAACAGUUAUUCAUAAUAGUAUGUAUUUGUAUAAUACCUUAAUAUUCACAACAGGCCUGUGAACUAGGUCGUGAAAGUAUUAUUAGAUCCAAUUUACAGGGUGAGUAAAGGAAGGUUCACAAAGGUGAACCAAUUAAUCUAUGGUGACAUAUGUAAAUAUCUGAGUCAGGAGUAGAAUUCAUUCAUUCACUCAAUUCAUUCCUUCAACCACACAGUAAAGCAUGCAGGCAAAAAAGCCAUUUAUCAAGUACCUACUAUGUUCUAGGUCCUUGGGGAUUGAGUGAAAAAUGAAAAUCUCUUGACUUCUGGUACACGACGAUCUACCACCAUUCCCCCUCCGGAGUCCAAUAAUGAUAGCGAACAUAUACUGCUUUAAGUUUUGAGAAGUGCCUUAAAUAGCUUAUCUUAUUUGAUCCUCACAACAACCCUGUGAAGUAGGAAAUAAGUAGAAUGAUCUCCGUUUUACAAAUGAAGAAACUAGGCACAGGCAGACUGACUUGUCCAAGGGUCACGCAGCUAGCGUCUUGGGCUAGGGUCCGUGCUGGGUACUGGGGAGACAAACCUUGAACCUGAGGAGGAUGGUCUACGCUCCAGAGAGCUCCAGCUGGGUGUUCCUCGCUUUCUAGGCUCAAGGAACCCACCCCUCGCCCAGUUCCCGAGGCCGGGCUGUUCAGGACUUCCUGCCUGCUGCAGAGGCUCAGUGCAGAGGCUGGGGACGGGGGCGGGGCAGGGGCGGGGCAGGCGCGUACCAAGUGAGCCGGAGCUACAGGAACCACCUCCCCAGUCGCCCCUAACCCUCCCUCUUUCCUCCUUCUUCCUCCCUUCUCCCUCCUCCGCAGUGCUCAGGUGAGAAGUCGGAGUCCUCUGUCUCCCCUCUCUCUCGAGUCAGCGCCAAACUUCAGCGCAACGUGUUCCAUCUCCAGCCUUCUCCCGUCGCUUUUGGUAGCUGCUCCUCUCCCCUAUCCCCGCCCUCUCGGCCAUCCCUCCAGCCCGCCCUCUCCGCCCCUAAGCCGCCGCCUCCUCCUUCCCUCCCUCCCUCCCCCUUCCCCAUGCGCCUCCACCUCGUUUCCUCUUUUCUCUCCGCCGGUUUCCUUUUGUUUUC
This 1197-nucleotide long non-coding RNA is filed under the name Phascolarctos cinereus (koala). Its description in RNAcentral is "lncRNA (ENSPCIG00000035244.1)". Lineage: Eukaryota; Metazoa; Chordata; Mammalia; Diprotodontia; Phascolarctidae. The record is from RNAcentral.